AUCAAAUGAAAUAAAGCUUAUGGUAGAUUCCUAGGCAUCUAGAGACGACGAAGGGCGUGAAAAACGAAAUGCUUCGGGAAGUAUAGAAUAAUGAUCCGAAGAUCCCCGAAUAGGGCAACCUUUUAAAACUUCCUAGUAAAUUCAUAAAUAGGAAAGAGGCAACCUAGUGAACUGAAACAUCUUAGUAACUAGAGGAAAAGAAAGCAAAAGCGAUUUCCGUAGUAGCGGCGAGCGAACUGGAACCAAGUCUAAACUAAAAAUUCAAAUUUUAGGGUUGUGGGAGAGAAUAAAAAGAUGCAAAAAAACAAAAGCGUUUGCUUUUGUUUUAAAAAUUAAGAGAAGCAGCUGAAUCCUGCACCAGAGAGGGUGAAAGUCCCGUAUUUGAAAAUAAAAAAUUUGUUGAUGUUCUUGAUCCCGAGUAGCAUGGGGCACGUGAAAUCCCGUGUGAAUCUGCGAGGACCACCUCGUAAGACUAAAUACUCCUAGAUGACCGAUAGCGAAAAGUACUGUGAAGGAAAGGUGAAAAAAUCGGUAACUCGAUACAUGAAAUAUUAUGAAACCAUAAGCUGUCAAGCAAUGGGAGGGUUUUUGAACCUGACCAUGUGCCUGUUGAAGAAUGAGCCGGCGACUUAUAGUAAGUGGCGUGGUUAAAGAAAACCAUCUGAAGCCAUAGCGAAAGCGAGUCUUAAUAGGGCGAUAAGUCACUUAUUAUGGACCCGAACCCGGGUGAUCUAACCAUGGCCAGGGUGAAACUUAGGUGAAACUAAGUGGAAGCCCGAACCGACCGAUGUUGAAAAAUCGGCGGAUGAGCUGUGGUUAGGGGUGAAAUGCUAAUCGAACUCGGAGCUAGCUGGUUCUCCCCGAAAUGCGUUGAGGCGCAGCGAUUAAUGAAUAUGGGCUGGAGUAGGGGUAAAGCACUGUUUCGAUGCGGGCUGCGCGAGCGGUACCAAUUCGUAGCAAACUCAGAAUACUAAACAUAAGCUUUCCAUUAAUCAGUGAGACAGUGGGGGAUAAGCUUCAUUGUCAAGAGGGAAACAGCCCAGAUCACUAGCUAAGGCCCCUAAAUGAAUGCUAAGUGGUAAAGGAGGUGAAAAUGCUAAGACAUCCAGAAGGUUUGCUUAGAAGCAGCCAUCCUUAAAAGAGUGCGUAAUAGCUCACUGGUAAAGCGUUUUCGCGCCGAAAAUGAACGGGACUAAGCAAUCUGCCGAAGCUGUGAGUUGAAAUUCGAAAAAACGAAUUUUUGCGGUAGGGGAGCGUUCCGCUCUAGGGUGAAGUAUUUACGGAAAUAAAUAUCGACGAAGCGGAAGUGAGAAUGUCGGCUUGAGUAACGCAAACAUUGGUGAGAAUCCUUUGCCCCGAAAACCUAAGGGUUCCUUCGCAAGACUCGUUCACGAAGGGUUAGUCAGGUCCUAAGGCGAGGCUGAAAAGCGUAGUCGAUGGAAAACAGGUUAAUAUUCCUGUACUAGUUUUUAGUUGAUACCGAGGGACGAAGAAAAUAAAAAAUUAGCCAGAUUCGGAUGGUUGGCAGAGCGACAUGUUCAAGUUUUUCAAAAAAGAGAUUAGAAGAAAAACUAAUCUGACGAACUAGUACACGACUUACUCUCACUAGUGGAAAUUGGUAACAAGAUCCAUCAAGUGUAAUAUUUUAUUAAGCUUCCUAGAAAAGCUCGUAGUAUUGUUAAAAUAAAAAUUACCUGUACCGUAAACCGCCACAGGUAGGUAGGUAGAGUAUACUGAGGGGCGCGAGAUAACUCUCUCUAAGGAACUCGGCAAAAUGACCCCGUAACUUCGGGAGAAGGGGUGCCUCUGGAGAAAUCUAGAGGCCGCAGUGACCAGGCCCAAGCGACUGUUUACCAAAAACACAGGUCUCCGCUAAGUCGUAAGACGAUAUAUGGGGGCUGACGUCUGCCCAGUGCCGGAAGGUUAAGCACGUUGGUUAUUCUUUAUUGAAAAAGCUGACAACCGAAGCCCCGGUGAACGGCGGCCGUAACUAUGACGGUCCUAAGGUAGCGAAAUUCCUUGUCAGGUAAGUUCUGACCCGCACGAAAGGCGUAACGAUUUGGGCGCUGUCUCGGAGAGAGACUCGGUGAAAUAGACAUAUCCGUGAAGAUGCGGAUUACUUGCACCUGGACAGAAAGACCCUAUGAAGCUUGACUGUAGCUUGUAAUUGAAUUUGGGUUUUUUUUGCGCAGACUAGGUGGGAGGCAUUGAUUCUGUUUUUCAGGAAAUAGAGGAGCCGCUUUUGAGAGACCACCCUUAAAACGCUAGAAUUCUAAUAAUGAUCCUUGAAUCAGGACAUUUGACAGUUGCAGGUGGGCAGUUUGACUGGGGCGGUCGCCUCCUAAAAAGUAACGGAGGCGUGCAAAGGUUCCCUCAAACUGGACGGAAAUCAGUUUAAGAGUGUAAAGGUAGAAGGGAGCUUGACUGCAAGACCUACAAGUCGAGCAGGGGCGAAAGCCGGCCUUAGUGAUCCGACGGUACCGUGUGGAAGGGCCGUCGCUCAACGGAUAAAAGUUACUCUAGGGAUAACAGGCUGAUCUUCCCCAAGAGUUCACAUCGACGGGAAGGUUUGGCACCUCGAUGUCGGCUCAUCGCAUCCUGGGGCUGUAGAAGGUCCCAAGGGUUGGGCUGUUCGCCCAUAAAAGCGGUACGUGAGCUGGGUUCAGAACGUCGUGAGACAGUUCGGUCCAUAUCCGGUGGAAGCGUUAGAGUAUUGAGAGGAUUCUUCUGCUGUACGAGAGGACCCGGAAGGACGUACCACUAGUGUACCAGUUCUUGUUCCAGCAGGAAACGCUGGGUAGCCAAGUACGGAGUGGAUAACUGCUGAAAGCAUCUAAGUAGGAAGCCCACCUCAAGAUGAGUACUCUCAUUAAGGUCUCGGUAAGACAAACCGUUAUAUAGGUAUCAAGUCGAAGAUUAGUAAUAAUUGCAGCUGAGGUAUACUAAUAGACCGUUUGAUUUUGAU
This 2965-nucleotide ribosomal RNA is filed under the name Stichococcus bacillaris. RNAcentral describes it as "LSU rRNA". It matches the Rfam family "Bacterial large subunit ribosomal RNA". Lineage: Eukaryota; Viridiplantae; Chlorophyta; Trebouxiophyceae; Prasiolales; Stichococcaceae. The record is from RNAcentral.